AUCCUUUUGUAGUUCGUGCGUGUGAUGAUUGGGUUUUCACGCUCACGUGUGAGAUGUGUCUCCCUCAAACCUUGUUACAACGUCGGCACAUUACCUAUCUGAUG
Molecule: small nucleolar RNA, 104 nt
Filed under: Microcebus murinus (gray mouse lemur)
Lineage: Eukaryota; Metazoa; Chordata; Mammalia; Primates; Cheirogaleidae
Description: Small nucleolar RNA U13 (ENSMICG00000044615.1)
Rfam family: Small nucleolar RNA U13
Source: Rfam by way of RNAcentral